This 506-nucleotide ribosomal RNA is filed under the name uncultured bacterium. RNAcentral's name for it is "partial 16S ribosomal RNA". It matches the Rfam family "Bacterial small subunit ribosomal RNA", at positions 29 to 523 of the family's 1533-position model. The record is from RNAcentral.
AGUGAACGCUGGCGGUAGGCCUAACACAUGCAAGUCGAACGGCAGCACAGAGGAGCUUGCUCCUUGGGUGGCGAGUGGCGGACGGGUGAGGAAUACAUCGGAAUCUACUCUGUCGUGGGGGAUAACGUAGGGAAACUUACGCUAAUACCGCAUACGACCUACGGGUGAAAGCAGGGGACCUUCGGGCCUUGCGCGAUUGAAUGAGCCGAUGUCGGAUUAGCUAGUUGGCGGGGGAAAGGCCCACCAAGGCGACGAUCCGUAGCUGGUCUGAGAGGAUGAUCAGCCACACUGGAACUGAGACACGGUCCAGACUCCUACGGGAGGCAGCAGUGGGGAAUAUUGGACAAUGGGCGCAAGCCUGAUCCAGCCAUACCGCGUGGGUGAAAAAGGCCUUCGGGUUGUAAAGCCCUUUUGUUGGGAAAGAAAUCCAGCUGGCUAAUACCCGGUUGGGAUGACGGUACCCAAAGAAUAAGCACCGGCUAACUUCGUGCCAGCAGCCGCCGUAA